AUCGCUUCUCGGCCUUUUGGCUAAGAUCAAGCGAAGUUUCUGUUCUUGUCAGUUUAAUAUAAGACAUCACAGCACGUGUGUUUCCCUU
This 88-nucleotide small nuclear RNA is filed under the name Suricata suricatta (meerkat). Its description in RNAcentral is "U2 spliceosomal RNA (ENSSSUG00005002485.1)". It matches the Rfam family "U2 spliceosomal RNA", at positions 1 to 92 of the family's 192-position model. Rfam says of the family: U2 is a small nuclear RNA (snRNA) component of the spliceosome (involved in pre-mRNA splicing). Complementary binding between U2 snRNA (in an area lying towards the 5' end but 3' to hairpin I) and the branchpoint sequence (BPS) of the intron results the bulging out of an unpaired adenosine, on the BPS, which initiates a nucleophilic attack at the intronic 5' splice site, thus starting the first of two transesterification reactions that mediate splicing. The record is from RNAcentral. Lineage: Eukaryota; Metazoa; Chordata; Mammalia; Carnivora; Herpestidae.